This 627-nucleotide ribosomal RNA is filed under the name Minimelanolocus obscurus. Its description in RNAcentral is "eukaryotic LSU rRNA". The stretch from base 235 to 389 matches the Rfam family "5.8S ribosomal RNA". The record is from RNAcentral. Lineage: Eukaryota; Fungi; Ascomycota; Eurotiomycetes; Chaetothyriales; Herpotrichiellaceae.
CGUAACAAGGUUUCCGUAGGUGAACCUGCGGAAGGAUCAUUAAAGAGUUAGGGUCUCACAGGCCCGACCUCCCAACCCUUUGUUUAUUCAACCAUCGUUGCUUCGGCGAGCCCGUCAUUAUUGACCGCCGGGGGACCGUCAAACCGUCCUCUGGUCCGUGCUCGUCGAUGGCCAACAUUUACAAAUUCUUAACUAAACGUGUGUUUAUCUGAGUAAUAUUUUUAAUAAAAGCAAAACUUUCAACAACGGAUCUCUUGGUUCUGGCAUCGAUGAAGAACGCAGCGAAAUGCGAUAAGUAAUGCGAAUUGCAGAAUUCCAGUGAGUCAUCGAAUCUUUGAACGCACAUUGCGCCCUUUGGCAUUCCGAAGGGCAUGCCUGUUCGAGCGUCAUUAUCACCCCUCAAGCCCUUCGGCUUGGUGUUGGACGGUUUGGUGAAUAUCUUUUACUUAUUUACCCCUCCCAAAGACAAUGACGGCGGCCUCGUUGGAUCCCCGGUACACUGAGUUCUUCACCGAACACGUAUUGGAUCAAGGAUUCACGGGCAACGGUCUGCCUCCCCUCAGGGAGAACUUUUAUCUAAGGUUGACCUCGGAUCAGGUAGGGAUACCCGCUGAACUUAAGCAUAUC